CCUACGGGUGGCUGCAGUGGUGAAUAUUGGACAAUGGGCGCAAGCCUGAUCCAGCAAUACCGCGUGUGUGAAGAAGGCCUGAGGGUUGUAAAGCACUUUUAAUCGGGAGGAAUAGCGGUCGGUUAAUACCCGGUCGUCUGACAUUACCGAUAGAAAAAGCACCGGCUAACUCCGUGCCAGCAGCCGCGGUAAUACGGAGGGUGCAAGCGUUAAUCGGAAUUACUGGGGGUGGAGCGUUCGUUGGCGGUUGAAAGCCCCGGGCUUAACCUGGGAACGGCAUUUGAAACUGAUCGACUAGAGUUGGGUAGAGGGGAGUGGAAUUUCAGGUGUAGCGGUGAAAUGCGUAGAUAUCUGAAGGAACACCAGUGGCGAAGGCGGCUCCCUGGACCCAAACUGACGCUGAGGCACGAAAGCGUGGGUAGCAAACAGGAUUAGAUACCCUUGUAGUC
This 449-nucleotide ribosomal RNA is filed under the name uncultured bacterium. RNAcentral describes it as "partial 16S ribosomal RNA". It matches the Rfam family "Bacterial small subunit ribosomal RNA", at positions 338 to 795 of the family's 1533-position model. The record is from RNAcentral.